RNAcentral lists this ribosomal RNA (530 nucleotides) under Lesticus magnus. Its description in RNAcentral is "partial 16S ribosomal RNA". It matches the Rfam family "Bacterial large subunit ribosomal RNA", at positions 1888 to 2623 of the family's 2925-position model. The record is from RNAcentral. Lineage: Eukaryota; Metazoa; Arthropoda; Insecta; Coleoptera; Carabidae.
GGGUGUUUUAUAAGUCUACCUGCCCACUGAAAUUUUUUGAAUGGCCGCAGUAUUUUGACUGUGCAAAGGUAGCAUAAUCAUUAGUUUUUUAAUUAAAAGCUUGUAUGAAAGGUUGGACGAGGUAAAAUCUGUCUCUAUUUAAUUUAAAUUAAAAUUUAAUUUUUAAGUUAAAAAGCUUAAAUGUUUAUAAAAGACGAGAAGACCCUAUAGAGCUUUAUAAUUUUUAUAAUAUAAUUAAUUAAGAUUUUUUUAGGUUUUAUUAUAUAAAUUAUUUUAUUGGGGUAAUAAAAAGAUUAAAAAAAUUCUUUUUGAUAAUUUACAUUAAUUUAUGGUUUAUUAAUGAUCCAGUUUUAUUGAUUAAAAGAUUAAGUUACCUUAGGGAUAACAGCGUAAUUUUUUUGGAGAGUUCAUAUCGAUAAAAAAGUUUGCGACCUCGAUGUUGGAUUAAAGAUUAAUUUAGGUGUAGAAGUUUAAAUUUUUGGUCUGUUCGACCAUUGAAUCUUUACGUGAUCUGAGUUCCCAACCGGGAA